GUCAGGAUGGCCGAGUGGUCUAAGGCGCCAGACUCAAGGCUUCAAUCCUUCCUGAACAAAGGGACUUCUGGUCUCCGAAUGGAGGCGUGGGUUCAAAUCCCACUCCUGACA
This is a non-coding RNA of Larimichthys crocea (large yellow croaker), 111 nucleotides long. The record is from Rfam. Lineage: Eukaryota; Metazoa; Chordata; Actinopteri; Sciaenidae.